GGCGCCUCCUACAGGCCGACUGACUCAUAGCAGCCAGCUACAGACAAAGACAUCUAUCAUGAUUUAAGACUUAAAGCAAAUGUUCUGAUGCUUCUUGGGGGAAUAUCCAAACUAGAACAAAAUCAGAGGAAUAUCAGUGGUGAGAAUUAGAUUAGUAAAUAAAGUUUAAUUCAGGUUGCUUCUUCUCCCCUGCCCUAUAUUCUUACAGCCUCCCUUCUCUGCUGGCAAGCUCUCAAACUCACACACAUACACACACUAACUAGUCUAUGUAAUAAAGAGCCCACUGGCAUUUAUUGACUUUUCAGUGUCUCUGUCUCGCUCGUCUCAUAGUGGCUCUCCUGUUCUUCUCUCUCUGUAGCUAACAGGCUUUGGGGUUCCUGGUGCUAAAGACAGAGGAGUUGGACCGUACAGUUAUUCUCAGUGUUGGAGUGAGGCCCUCUCUGUGCUGCAGUGGAGGGCUUCACAGACACAGCUAGUCUGGUGAGUAGGAGCUCUCUUGUUCACUUUAAUGAUAUACAGUACAUACUGCUGUUGUAUACCCUUUAAAAAGUAGUUUAUAGAAAUAUAUGUGCCAAAUAACUUAUCUCUUAUUCUCUCCUGAUUAUGAGUCUCAGCUACAUCAUAUUUCCUAUUUGUCAAGAUAUUUAAUAAGAUAAAGGCAACUUUCUCAGUUGUAGUGAUGUGUUAUUAUGCCGUGAGUAAACUACAUGUCUAACAUCCACAGGCUGGAUGCAUCACGCAGUAGAGCAGUUUGGCGGGCGUGGCACACGGGAUUCCUUCCCUCUGGACGGACUCAACCGGGGACCAUGGGCUCCCGUGGGCGGCCGCGCCUGGCAGCCACCUGCCAGGUGUUCGCCUGGAAUGAACCAACACCAGCUCCUUUCCCAUCUACCUCCUGGUCCUAUGGGCGGACUGAACCAUCAGAGUAAAUUCUUUAGUAAUGGGCCCAUGCGUGGAGGUGAGAAGCUCGAGCUCCCACAACCAAUGUUACCAGGCCUGCAGAGGGAGCAGCAGAGACCUCCUCCUCAUCAUCUUCACCCUCCACCUCCACACAGAGCGUGGGAACAACUAGGUCAGCUGUAUGACUCCCACCUCCCUCCUCAAGGACAUUCUGUCGUGCCACUGCCCAAUGAGCACUCACUUCGUCUCCAUAAUGGAGGCUAUGCAGGCAGCGGCGGCCCUCCCCCCAACCCCCAUCUUCCCCCCAGCAGGCCAAACCAACUGCUGAAGGUGAGUGACAUUGCUACAGGUGAACAGUACAGAGUUGAACAGUUUUUCAUAGAUGAUUCAUGGUUUGUGUCUAAACAGAUUCUAAAAGAAUAUAACCACCAUCCAUUAUCGGGUGUUGUGGUUCGCCUCAAUGUGUUUCCAAACAAUCGCGGAG
Molecule: long non-coding RNA, 1384 nt
Filed under: Cottoperca gobio
Lineage: Eukaryota; Metazoa; Chordata; Actinopteri; Perciformes; Bovichtidae
Description: lncRNA (ENSCGOG00000004947.1)
Source: RNAcentral